Long non-coding RNA from Callithrix jacchus (white-tufted-ear marmoset), 2224 nucleotides. RefSeq lists it as uncharacterized. The record is from RefSeq and is a predicted model, not a curated record. NCBI's taxonomy places the organism in Eukaryota, Metazoa, Chordata, Mammalia, Primates, Cebidae.
ACCAGGCAAAGGGGAAGCAGCAGCCCUUUCCAGGGGAGGCCACAGGUCCAAAGCUCAGAGGCCAUCCAGAGGCCAGUGAGUUCAAGGGACCGCAAGCGGCCACAUCUCACUAGAACAAAGCAUUUUCCAGAGGCAGCGUGGUGUGAUCCAGGCGGAGAGAACACAGCUCUGUUCUGUUCUGGGAGCCUCGCAAUGAGAUGCAGUCGGUCCUCACGGCUCCAAGCUGAAGCAGGGGGCAGUGAAGCAUGUCGUCACCACCAGGACUGAGGAGGAGGCCAACCCCAGAGACACCACCCCUAGAAGUAGCCGUUGGGCUCUGGUGAAGACACCGGGACCAGGACGCAGCAGGAGGGAUCAAAAGCCUGGGAUGCACCGUGCCAGGCCCCAUCACCAAUGUUUUCCCAUGAAUCCCACUCACAGUCCUGAGAGGCAUCUGCCCAUUUCACAGAUGGAAUCUGAGAGCUCGAUGGGAAAGGCCAGGCCAAGUUCCCAGAGCUAACGAGUAGAGAAGCUGGGAUUUGAAUCCAGGCCCGCAGGUCCCUGAGAGGAGCCCCAGACACCAGGCCACCAGGAAAGCCAUCUCAGCUCAGCAUCCCUCUCCCAAUUCUGCAGAGAUCCAGAGAAGGAAGUGGUCAUAGGGCUAGAAGUGGAGAUCCAAGGAUUUGAACCCAGCUCUGUUUGGUUCCAAGACCAGGGCUCUUUCUGUUCCCCAUAGCAGAAGAAAGAAAGAAACGAAAGAAAGGAAGGGAGGGAGGGAGGGAGGGAGGGAAUGGGGGGCAAAAGAAAGAAAGGCCAUUUUCCAUCCCCAAAGGCCAGGGCUGUGGGGGAGCCGGGGUGGCCAUGGCCCCACAGCUGGGGAGAGAGGAAAGCACACUGAACCCACUUCCCUGCUGAAAACUCAAGCCUGAAAUAAAAGACUGAGUGCUAUUUCUGCCUUGGGUUAAACAUUCCUCAAAGCCACAUUCCUCCUGCCCUCCCCCUGCUCCCCUGCCAGGGAAUUCAGAGCACAGUGGCCUGGAUGCCUCACCAGCCUCCUGGGGCCCCCUCGGUGGUCAGAAGUGCAGCUACCCUGCACCCCGUCCUGGGCAAGGAGCACCUCCACCCACAGCACAGUCAGGGCACACGGAGCUGAGAAAUGGUGACACCACAUCUCAUAGACAGUGAAACAGAUCGGGAGACAGCAGCCCUAGGAGCAGCAGCCAGAGGCCAUAGCAGGCCAGGCCGGAGCUGGGACCCAACUCUGAGCUCCCUGGCUGUCCCCCUUCCCCGACAGAUUGCAAGUCAGGAGCACCGGCAGGUCCUGUCCUGGUCACCAGGGAAAGCAGACCACAGCACUGCAUGGAAAAACUCUUCGGAAGGAUUCCAGCCUUUUGCAGGGGCAAAGAUGCCCCAGGCCACGCAUCCCACAGACACCAAAGACCACAAGAUGUGGCCCAGCCCUCAAGGAGCUUAAAGUCAUGGGGGUCCCCUCGGCCACCAUGCCCCCAAGCCCACACUGCACCUAUGAAGAUUUGGUCUCUUUCUCCAUCAGACAGAUACCUCCGAAGGCACCUGGGCUGAGCCAGGCACAGGGCAGCGCAGGACUGUCAGGAGUGCUCAGUCCUCACUACUUUGUCCAGGACAGGGCUUCCCAGGAGAAGGGGUGGUGCAGCACAUAAAAUGGGGUACACCGUGCCGGGCACGGUCGCUCAUGCCUGUAAUCUCAGCACUUCGGGAGGCCAAGGAUCAUGAGGUCAGGAGUUCGAGACCAUUCUAGCCAACAUGGUGAAACCCUGUCUCUACUAAAAUUACAAAAAUUAGCUGGGCGAGGUGGCGGCGUGCACCUGUAGUCUCAGCUACUUGGGAGGCUGAGGCAGGAGAAUUGUGUGAACCCAGAAGGCAGAGGUUACAGUGAGCCGAGAUAGCGCCACUGCACUUCAGCCUGGAGACAGAACCAGAUCCGCCUCAAAAAAAGAAAAAAAAGUUGGGGCACAUUGCUCCUGAGUUCCCAGGGCGGGAGGAUCACCAUUGGGAUCAGCCCAGCGCCUGAGCCUCCACUAGCAUGGGUGGAGGCUGAGGAUGCCCUUGAGGCCAGGGCACAGCUGCAGCCUACACUCAUCAGCGCUUCUCCUCCUGCUGCCUUUCCACAAGGCCUCAGCUCCGCCUCCUGCCUGGCGGAGGCUGCCCCAUAUAUCCCCAGCAGAAGGCAAAACCUCUGGAACCAGCAAGAAGGAUCCUACCCACC